GAUGAACGCUGGCGGCGUGCCUAAUACAUGCAAGUCGAGCGAACAGACGAGGAGCUUGCUCCUCUGAUGUUAGCGGCGGACGGGUGAGUAACACGUGGAUAACCUACCUAUAAGACUGGGAUAACUUCGGGAAACCGGAGCUAAUACCGGAUAACAUGUUGAACCGCAUGGUUCAACAGUGAAAGACGGUCUUGCUGUCACUUAUAGAUGGAUCCGCGCCGCAUUAGCUAGUUGGUAAGGUAACGGCUUACCAAGGCAACGAUGCGUAGCCGACCUGAGAGGGUGAUGGGCCACACUGGAACUGAGACACGGUCCAGACUCCUACGGGAGGCAGCAGUAGGGAAUCUUCCGGAAUGGGCGAAAGCCUGACGGAGCAACGCCGCGUGAGUGAAGAAGGUCUUCGGAUCGUAAAACUCUGUUAUUAGGGAAGAACAAAUGUGUAAGUAACUAUGCACGUCUUGACGGUACCUAAUCAGAAAGCCACGGCUAACUACGUG
Molecule: ribosomal RNA, 497 nt
Filed under: uncultured bacterium
Lineage: Bacteria
Description: partial 16S ribosomal RNA
Rfam family: Bacterial small subunit ribosomal RNA
Source: RNAcentral